CGGCAUCGUGAUGGCUCACGAUUUGGCAUUGUCCUUGGCUGCUGCUGGUAACCCUCCCAGGGCCACCUGCUGAUGCUGCCUUGAAGACACCUGUCGCCUAUUGCACACCUUUGUGUGGCCGUGUUCGAACCCGCCCACUACUGUCUUACUUCACGGAAGCUUCUGCACGCGUUCACUCAAUCAGCUGAUCCUUUACCCCAUAGCACACGAGCCACAGGACUGCAGAUCCUUUUUCUAGAGCAGAUGCCUGUCAUUUACAAGGUGUCGGAGGGGACAGUGCUAUCCCCCACUCCCAACUCUCGAGAGGAUGCAACCAGAUGACACACACACCGUGUGCAGCCCAAGGCCAGGUGUCUACGAGAUGGCACUGGUACAUCAAGGAAAUAAGAAGCUUCUGAUGGACAUCAUUUUCCAUGAAAGCCUUUUGCUUCUCCUCCAAAUCUUAUCAUUAUACAUGGCUUCUCAGAUAUAGUGAAAAUUGGAUUGUAAGUGUUGGGGAAGCAGAAAGAGGAUGCUCAUGGCAAAAUAUAUCCCUGCCUUGAG
This 543-nucleotide long non-coding RNA is filed under the name Fukomys damarensis (Damara mole-rat). RNAcentral describes it as "lncRNA (ENSFDAG00000031060.1)". Lineage: Eukaryota; Metazoa; Chordata; Mammalia; Rodentia; Bathyergidae. The record is from RNAcentral.